Molecule: non-coding RNA, 255 nt
Organism: Pelobates cultripes (western spadefoot toad)
Lineage: Eukaryota; Metazoa; Chordata; Amphibia; Anura; Pelobatidae
Source: the annotation of a GenBank genome assembly
GUCUCAUGCAUUGUGAAUGCACACAAAUAUAUUUGUUUAUUAUAAAUCUGUCUUCAUCUGGAAAAGCAAAACAUAAGCUGACAUUUAAAGAUCGGGAGAACAUGGUGUCACUGUGGAUUCUAAACACCCCCACACAAGGAAGUCAUUAGUAUCAAACCAUAAAUUAUCGCUGGCUGCUAAUCACUUGUUAUCAGGUAGGAGAGCACGACAGACAAACUCCAUUUUCUGUUGUCCUCAAUCACUGCUGGGUGCAUA